AGAGUUUGAUUCUGGCUCAGGAUGAACGCUGGCGGCGUGCUUAACACAUGCAAGUCGAACGGACUUGGAUGUCGGAAGUUUUCGGAUGGAAGAUAUUCAAGUUAGUGGCGGACGGGUGAGUAACGCGUGGGUAACCUGCCUUCAAGAGGGGGAUAACAUUCUGAAAAGAAUGCUAAUACCGCAUGACAUAUCGGAACCACAUGGUUUUGAUAUCAAAGAUUUUAUCGCUUGAAGAUGGACUCGCGUCCGAUUAGUUAGUUGGUGAGGUAACGGCUCACCAAGACCGCGAUCGGUAGCCGGACUGAGAGGUUGAACGGCCACAUUGGGACUGAGACACGGCCCAGACUCCUACGGGAGGCAGCAGUGGGGGAUAUUGCGCAAUGGGGGCAACCCUGACGCAGCAACGCCGCGUGAAGGAUGAAGGUUUUCGGAUUGUAAACUUCUUUUAUUAAGGACGAAAAAUGACGGUACUUAAUGAAUAAGCUCCGGCUAACUACGUGCCAGCAGCCGCGGUAAUACGUAGGGAGCAAGCGUUGUCCGGAUUUACUGGGUGUAAAGGGUGCGUAGGCGGCUUUGCAAGUCAGAUGUGAAAUCUAUGGGCUCAACCCAUAAACUGCAUUUGAAACUGUAGAGCUUGAGUGAAGUAGAGGCAGGCGGAAUUCCCCGUGUAGCGGUGAAAUGCGUAGAGAUGGGGAGGAACACCAGUGGCGAAGGCGGCCUGCUGGGCUUUAACUGACGCUGAGGCACGAAAGCGUGGGUAGCAAACAGGAUUAGAUACCCUGGUAGUCCACGCUGUAAACGAUG
Molecule: ribosomal RNA, 804 nt
Filed under: uncultured bacterium
Lineage: Bacteria
Description: bacterial SSU rRNA
Rfam family: Bacterial small subunit ribosomal RNA
Source: RNAcentral